CGGGCUGUGGGCCGCUUUGUGGCGCACCUGGCUGGGAGUCAGGGGGCCGCAGGUUCGAGUCCUGUCAGCCCGA
RNAcentral lists this transfer RNA (73 nucleotides) under Tessaracoccus aquimaris. It matches the Rfam family "tRNA". Rfam says of the family: Transfer RNA (tRNA) molecules are approximately 80 nucleotides in length. The record is from Rfam by way of RNAcentral. Lineage: Bacteria; Bacillati; Actinomycetota; Actinomycetes; Propionibacteriales; Propionibacteriaceae.